AUACGGAGGGUGCGAGCGUUGUUCGGAAUUAUUGGGCGUAAAGCGCGUGUAGGCGGUUGUUUAAGUCUGAUGUGAAAGCCCCGGGCUUAACUUGGGAAGUGCAUUGGAAACUGGGCAACUGGAGUACGGGAGAGGGUAGUGGAAUUCCGAGUGUAGGGGUGAAAUCCGUAGAUAUUCGGAGGAACACCGGUGGCGAAGGCGGCUCCCUGGACCGAUACUGACGCUGAGACGCGAAAGCGUGGGGAGCAAACAGGAUUAGAUACCCUGGUAGUCCACGCCGUAAACGAUGGGCACUAGGUGUCGUGGGUAUUGACCCCCGCGGUGCCGAAGCUAACGCAUUAAGUGCCCCGCCUGGGGAGUACGGUCGCAAGGCUAAAACUCAAAUGAAUUGACGGGG
RNAcentral lists this ribosomal RNA (397 nucleotides) under uncultured bacterium. RNAcentral's name for it is "partial 16S ribosomal RNA". It matches the Rfam family "Bacterial small subunit ribosomal RNA", at positions 523 to 918 of the family's 1533-position model. The record is from RNAcentral.